This 913-nucleotide long non-coding RNA is filed under the name Malus domestica (apple). Its description in RNAcentral is "long non-coding RNA (MDOM_LNC016042)". The record is from RNAcentral. Lineage: Eukaryota; Viridiplantae; Streptophyta; Magnoliopsida; Rosales; Rosaceae.
AUUGUUUGCCAGCAAAGUUCAUCUGUCAUGAUCUUCGUUUUCCUUUUCCGACACCAUGAGUCAUCUCGUGGUCUCGAAAUUUGUUAGAGAAGUGUUUUUUUUUUAAAUUUAAUGUUGGUGUGAGAGAGGGAAAUUAUAUUUGAGUACUUUCAAUUUCACGGACAAGAAGAGGCUUUCUGAACUCGCUUUUUAGACAAAUUCUGCUGGCAUUACCUAUACAAAAAUUUAAGGAGUCAAAGCAUCAUUCAUUCUUAUUUCCUCCAACAUAUAAACAUUUAAGCAUUACCUAUACAAAAUUUCCUCCAACAUCUCAUACAAAAAUAAAAAAUAAAUAAUAAAUAAAACUAUGAACAAACGUAACCCAUGUUCAAAGAUUGAAAAUUCAUCUAGUUUGAUGUUGUGAGUUUUAAGUAACAUAUAAAAUUAUAAAACUUAAAAAACCAAAUUACUAAAUAGUUAUAUAUGUAAAUCUUUUAUUUUUUAUUUUUUUAACAAACGAUAUUAUCUACAGUAAGGGGAAAGUGGUGGGCUAAGCCUUAUAAUAAGUUAGCAAUAAUGUGGUUCAAAUUCGCUUUUGACGAGAAUCAAACCUAAAACUUCUCACUUACAAGUGAAGAAUAAUACUACCAAACCGUAGUACUAAGUGACUUUUAUUCUCUUAAUGUACACAAAAGACACACAUUACAUGCGUAAAUGCACGUUGUAUGAUAUAAUAUUAUAUGGUUCAUGUCCUUUGUGUUUCUCUACUUCUUUUCUUAGUGGACACCUCAUCUAAUUUGGGUUGCAGUCAAAGCCCGCAAGUGAAUGAAGUGCCAAUGUAAGUACUCGGUCGAGCGGCCCUUCUUUUUGGGUGCUCCUAAGCCCAAUUUAUUGUCUCAUUUUCUCGUCUACUUCCCCUUUUCACCCAACAUAA